RNAcentral lists this long non-coding RNA (2532 nucleotides) under Linum usitatissimum (flax). Its description in RNAcentral is "long non-coding RNA (LUSI_LNC005450)". The record is from RNAcentral. Lineage: Eukaryota; Viridiplantae; Streptophyta; Magnoliopsida; Malpighiales; Linaceae.
UGAAAAGGUCCGUUUGGGAGAACAUAACACAAACCCCUUCACACUCUCAUCCAAUCAUAUCAAAUCAGUUACAAACUGGUAAAAUCGAGUCAAAUAAGAGUCAAGAUGGAGGUGAUUCUCAUCGGAAAAAAAGCAUCUUGAGCUACUCCAAUAUCUUUUUUCUUACAACCAAACGAAUAAAGUAUAUUACAAAUAUUAUUGGUAUGGUCUCUUCACUUGGAGGAGCACUUAAUAAAUCAACAAUCCUAUUUGAACUGCAUUGACCUGCAUCAACAUUGAGAUUACAGGUGAGGAUGCAUCAACAUUGAGCUCUCCCAUUUUAUGUUAUGUCUAAAGGGAAAUAAUACACUUUGCACUUCCUAAAGAAAAGGACUCCCACACAAUUUAGGCCUAGUUCAGAGUUGUGUCAACUAAUUCAACUUAUACAUUAUAUUGCACAUUGUACUAGUAUACCCUACAAUUCAAAAAGAAGUUAUACUGGGGAAUCUAAAGUAGUACACCCUCCUAUUAAAAAAGAAGGAGAAGUUACAGUAGGGAACCUGAACUAGUACACACUACAACAAAAGAAGAAUACGAAAAGAUAGUAACAUUGCAAUAAAAAGCAUUAUUUCAUAAUUGCAUACGAUGUUCAAUUCAACUACAAGCCAUGCAGCAUUAAAAAUCUUUUACUGAAUUACAAAUUUGAACUAGUACGGAAGAUUGCAACGACGAAAUCAACGCCGGCUUAAAAACUCACAUCUUUUACCUACCAUCUUGUGGUUAGCUAUUCGGCUGAGGAAAGCAGAUCGAAGUCGGGUGUAACUGAACUGGUGGUGGGGAGGUAACAUUGACAAAAGCAUAUCGAUGAUGGGAGCUGAGGAUCUGCAAAAAUACCCAAAGCAAAUCUUUUACAAGAACCACUUGAACUAAUACAUGAAACAACGACAUUGCCUUACUACUGAACUAGUUCGAAAUAAAAUCAACAAUAUUGAUUGAACAUGAUCACUGCCUUACCACUGAACUAGUAGACUAUAGAACUAGUAUGGACGUCGCCGAAUUUUCUACAAUUCGAGCUAGUUCGCCGCCAUUGAACAAAGACGAAAACCUCUAGAAACACACAAAGCAGCGGUAGUACGUGGUUAGAAAAUUGGAGCCGUUGUACGUGUGUUUGGAUGAUAAAUCGGAGCCGACUACAAAAGAAGGUACCAGCCAAUUGGGAGACGAAUACAAAAGAAGGUGCAUGCCUAGAUCUUGGGAGAAAGAUAGAUCGUAGCCAUAUAGGAGCCGAUGACGAGACCUAGAUCUUCACCGAUGAACAUAGUCAACGUCCUCCAGAACUAUGAAAACCAAAACAACCAAUUAUUAACACCAAACCAUUAUGCAACAUGAAUUAGCUCUUCAAUCGGUGACCACAAACAUGUCUCCUCUUUUAACAUCUUCUCACCGGAAAUCUGAUCACCGUCCGAAGGUAAAGAAGGCGACCUUCCACUCCAAUUGCAACUGAAUCAAUAAAAAUCGUGGGUUGGGGGUGAUACACUUGUAGUAUGCACUAUAAAACAACCAAAUUAUCAAAGUAAUCAGGGACGAAUUUCCCUAGGGUCUCUAAAAUGUAUUCUACUCGAAGUUGUGAAAAGUGCUAAUCGGUUUAACAAAGAUGUGGUGUGAGUUCCACGAUUAUCAAUAUGAGAAUAAAAAAUAGUAAAUAACAAGAAACUAAAACAAGUUUGCAAGACUGCACAAUUUAGGGUUUGACUAAUUGGGGGGAAUCAGGUUAGACUUCGAAUCCCCCUAGACUAUCCAAAUUCACAAAUGAUAUUCAACUUCAAUAAUUUAUGCAAAUAAGAUAAAUUAAGUUCACCGUCGCAAUUAUUCUCAAAUCAAAUCACGUCAUUUCGGGUAUGUUAAUCUUCUACGUAUCUACUAUCCUAGUACAGCCUUUCAAAACAAAGAGCUGAAAUCCGUCAUGCGAUAAAACAAACAAUUGCUCACAGGACGGCCUAGUCUAUUCGCUCCCGGACGAAGGUUUAACGACUUACCUAGUUGUUUAAUUUCGACGUUCUAGAAUUGAAAGAUCUUGUGAGAAAAUAAAAAUCUAACAGGAUCCUAUUCAAGUUGAUCAGGCAAGAAGAGAAACGAAUAUGAAAUUAAACAUACACCAAAAUCCACCCAACUCGCAUAAAUCGUCAAAGUCAAACAAUCAGUAAGGAACUUAGGUACUCAUAAUCUCGUAGAACAAAACAAAAUCAACAAAGGGAACCAUUGAUUCUAGGUUUACACAAAGAAUUAUAGAAUACCAAAUUUCGUCGAUUCCGGUGGAAGAAUAUGAUUAGGCAAUCUUGAUUACAUUGUCCGAUCUGAGCUCCUUAAAGUGUUGCCUUCUUGUUGCUAAGAAAUCCCCGAUGCUAUGUUUGGCAAUAGGAAUCAUGAUUCCUAAAAGUUAAGUUGAGACUAAUGUAAAUAAGUUGAGUUGGAGUAGAAAAAUAUUAUUGAUGGAAAUUUGGAUCAAAGGAUAUAAGGAUUCUAAUUGGAAUCAUGUUUCCCUAUCUACUCAAU